UGCAUUGACUUGACUAUAUAUGCCCGUGUGU
Molecule: non-coding RNA, 31 nt
Filed under: Rattus norvegicus (Norway rat)
Lineage: Eukaryota; Metazoa; Chordata; Mammalia; Rodentia; Muridae
Source: RNAcentral